UUUUCCAGAAAACGUCUCAAUCUAAUUUGUGUAGAGUCGCGUUGCGUGUGUGCACGUCUGUGUGUGUGCUUCAGUCACAGAAGGGGGUGAGAAGUGGGAAGAGGGGAUUUGCAUAGAACCUCCAAUUUUCCUUAUUUCCUAGGGAGUUGAUGAUUUCAGCCAAAUAUAAGUCUUAACGUUACAUCUGCAAUGGAAAAACAAGUCAAACUCAGCAAAAAGGAGCCCUGAAGAGACAGAGUUAAGUGCUUCCGUGAUGAGAGUAGAGUUGGCCUAUGCUGUCCCUCCCAGGACUCCUUUACCCAAGAGAAAGAGAGAGUGUGCAUCCAAAGGGGAGUGAAAAUAGAAUAUAAAUAGGGAAAAUAGAACCAUUCAGAGCAGUUCAGGGAUCUUUACUACUCUGACAUGGAAGGAAGAAGGAGGAGAAGAGAAAAGAUGAACGGACCUUGAACCUGGGAUAUCGCUCAUGUGACUGCUACAUUGGUAUUAAGAUACAGCAUUCAUGUGCCCUGGAAUGUUUUGUUCUAUUAGGUGCUACACCCAGUAGAACAGUGCUCCAUCCAAUGCAAUUUUCUGGAAUUUAAACAAUCCAGACCAGAAUUUUUCCUCCUUGGAGAUGGAAUGUCUUGCUCCAGAGGGAGGAGGAAGAAGAGAAAAGAGAAGUCUCAACCAGCCUCCUCUCUACCCCACACAGAGAAUAGAGAUGCAAAACUUCUCCCAUAGAGUGUUUCAGCUUCUUCCUCGUUCCUCUUGCUUCUUUUCUCUUGGGAUAAUGACUUGGGUUUGGCCAGUAUGUAAAGUUGACUUGUGGUACCUCUGGCUCUUCUCCAGGGGUGCUCACAGAAAUAACUACAGUGGACUAGAAUGAGAUGCUUGAAACCUUCCCCCGAGCCUAGCUCUGCAUUUAGGAGAACAGCACAGCGCACCAUGAUCUGAUAUAGGUAUAGGUGGGUGGGAGUCUCAGUCUGUAGUUCUAUAUCACCUAUUAAGAGACUGGAACCUGGUCCCAUGUUUUCUGCAGGAGGUUGAGCUCUUAACAAUGUGCCAAGCCAGCAGCUGUGCCCUAGAGUCUUGGCCUAAGACAAGCAAAUAAUUGUCAGAUGACUGAAUAGUUCUGUUUCCUUAUUAAAUCUUAGGUUUAGAAUUCCUUUCACAAUUAAAAAGAUUUGGACAACAACUUUAUAGGGCCAAUUCUUUUUAUUCCAGGUUAUCACAACAUCCUCAAAGAAAAAUGCAUCAUGAAUGGUCUUCAUACCAUCUAACAGAUCCAGUUUACCCUCAUUCCUGUGGCUUUGUUCUGGCUGCUACCUUCACUUGGCAUAUUUCUCCUCCCCUUCACCCUUCAAACCAUGUUUUCUUUCAAGGUCCCCUCAACCCUAAUGUGCACUGUGUCUUUCUGUCCACUCAAGUCCUGGCUGAUCUCUCCCUAUUCACACUUAUGCCACUAUUCUUUUCAGCUCUACCCAUGUGGCGCUUGCCAGAUGAUGUUACCUUUUUUGCUUUGGGAAUUUUGCUUUCCCAACUACAGCACAAGUAGGAGUG
Long non-coding RNA from Homo sapiens (human), 1539 nucleotides. The record is from Ensembl. Lineage: Eukaryota; Metazoa; Chordata; Mammalia; Primates; Hominidae.